GACAACGCUGGCGGCGUGCCUAACACAUGCAAGUCGAGCGAAUGAAGUUCCUUCGGGAACGGAUUUAGCGGCGGACGGGUGAGUAACACGUGGGCAACCUGCCUCAUAGAGGGGAAUAGCCUUCCGAAAGGGAGAUUAAUACCACAUAAGAUUGUAGUACCGCAUGGUACAGCAAUUAAAGGAGCAAUCCGCUAUGAGAUGGGCCCGCGGCGCAUUAGCUAGUUGGUGAGGUAAACGGGCUCACCAAGGCGACGAUGCGUAGCCGACCUGANAGGGUGAUCGGCCACAUUGGGACUGAGACACGGCCCCAGACUCCUACGGGAGGCAGCAGUGGGGAAUAUUGCACAAUGGGGGAAACCCUGAUGCAGCAACGCCGCGUGAGUGAUGACGGCCUUCGGGUUGUAAAGCUCUGUCUUCAGGGACGAUAAUGACGGUACCUGGGGAGGAAGCCACGGCUAACUACGUG
This 466-nucleotide ribosomal RNA is filed under the name uncultured bacterium. Its description in RNAcentral is "bacterial SSU rRNA". It matches the Rfam family "Bacterial small subunit ribosomal RNA", at positions 32 to 507 of the family's 1533-position model. The record is from RNAcentral.